UAGAUUGUGAAGUCUUGAGCCUCAGCUACC
Molecule: non-coding RNA, 30 nt
Filed under: Rattus norvegicus (Norway rat)
Lineage: Eukaryota; Metazoa; Chordata; Mammalia; Rodentia; Muridae
Source: RNAcentral